AACGCACCUUGCGCUCCUUGGUAUUCCUCGGAGCAUGCCUGUUUGAGUGUCAUGAAUAUAUCAACCCCCAAUUGGUUCCCACCAUUUGGCUGGUUGGAAUUGGAGGUUGCCGAGUUCCUCGGCUCCUCUCAAAUGCAUUAGCUGGAACCUCACAUGCAUCUCCAGUGUGAUAAUAUCAACUCUGGUUGGUCAUGGGUUUUGUUGUUCACGCAACUUAACGAAGAGGCUCUGCUUCCAAUCGUCCUGUCAAGGACAAUUUUUUCAUCUGACCUCAAAUCAGGUAGGACUACCCGCUGAACUUAA
This 303-nucleotide unclassified non-coding RNA is filed under the name uncultured fungus. RNAcentral's name for it is "partial contains 5.8S ribosomal RNA, internal transcribed spacer 2, and large subunit ribosomal RNA". The record is from RNAcentral. Lineage: Eukaryota; Fungi.